This 444-nucleotide long non-coding RNA is filed under the name Ananas comosus (pineapple). RNAcentral's name for it is "long non-coding RNA (ACOM_LNC042692)". The record is from RNAcentral. Lineage: Eukaryota; Viridiplantae; Streptophyta; Magnoliopsida; Poales; Bromeliaceae.
CCCGAAAUUUUAUCCGAAUCCGAACCCGAACCCGAAUGAAACCGAUAUAUCUGAUGGAUAUGAAUAUGGAUUCGGAUAUGGAUAUCAAAAAUAGAAACCCGAAGGAUAUGGAUUCGGAUAUGGAUUUUGAUUGUACCCGAUCUGAACCCGACCCGAACCCGAAUUUAUUUUGUAUUAUAUAUAAUAUAUAUAUAAAAAUUUGAUGUUAUAUUUGAAUUUGUAUUUUAAAAAUUUAGAUUUAAUUUUGAAAUAUUGAAAAAAGAAAUAAUUGUUUCGGGUUCAAAUUUUCGGUUUCGGGUUCGGGUUCGGGUUUCGAAUUUUUGGUCGGGUUCGGGUUUGGAUAUGGAUUUUUAAAAUCCGUCGCUUUCGGGUUCGGAUUCGGGUUCGGGUCUCGGGUUCGAAGUCGGGUUCGGGUUCGAGUUUUUAAAAAUCUGCACCGAAUUC